Molecule: ribosomal RNA, 462 nt
Filed under: uncultured bacterium
Lineage: Bacteria
Description: bacterial SSU rRNA
Rfam family: Bacterial small subunit ribosomal RNA
Source: RNAcentral
ACUCCUACGGGAGGCAGCAGUGAGGAAUAUUGCGCAAUGAGCGAAAGCUUGACGCAGCCAGACCGCGUGCAGGAAGAAGGCCGUAAGGUUGUAAACUGCUUUUGAUAAGGAGGAAAAUCGGGGACUUGUCCCCGACUGACAGUACUUAUCGAAUAAGCACCGGCUAACUCCGUGCCAGCAGCCGCGGUAAUACGGAGGGUGCAGGCGUUAUCCGGAUUUACUAGGUUUAAAGGGUCUGUAGGCGGUAUCGUAAGUCAGUGGUGAAAUGUCUGAGCUCAACUGAGGCACUGCCAUUGAUACUGCGGAACUUGAGUACGGUUGCUGUUGGCGGAAUGUAUCAUGUAGCGGUGAAAUGCAUAGAUAUGAUACAGAACACCAAUUGCGAAGGCAGCUAACAAAGCCGUUACUGACGCUAAUAGACGAAAGCGUGGGGAUCGAACAGGAUUAGAUACCCUGGUAGUC